UUCUUACCGCUUAUUAUUGUAAGUAUCACCUGCUCAAUGAUUUUUAAAUAGCCGCGGAAAUUUAACCGUGCUAAGGUAGCAUAAUCAUUAGCCUCUUAAUUAGAGGCUCGUAUGAAUGGUGAAACAUUUCAAUUUCUUUUUUAAUUAAUUAUUUUUAAUUUAAAUUAAGAAUAAAAAUGUUCUUAUUAAUAAAAAAGACGACAAGACCCUUUUGAACUUAACUUUAGUUUAGCUGGGGCAGCUAAUAAAAAAUUAUCUUUGUCUUAUUCUUAAAAUAAAUGACCCAAUAUAAUUGAUUAUUUGAACAAGUUACCAUAGGGAUAACAGCGUAAUAUCUUUUUUAAGUUCUUAUUUAAAAAGAAGAUUGCGACCUCGAUGUUGAAUUAAUGUAACUUUACUGGUGCAGUAAUUUUAAAAGUGGGUCUGUUCGACCCUUAAAACAUUACA
Molecule: ribosomal RNA, 447 nt
Filed under: Mecynogea lemniscata
Lineage: Eukaryota; Metazoa; Arthropoda; Arachnida; Araneae; Araneidae
Description: partial 16S large subunit ribosomal RNA
Rfam family: Bacterial large subunit ribosomal RNA
Source: RNAcentral